UGCGGAGGGUGCAAGCGUUACUCGGAAUUAUUGGGCGUAAAGAGCGCGUAGGCGGUUUCUUAAGUCAGAUGUGAAAGCCCAGGGCUUAACCCUGGAAGUGCCUUUGAAACUAAGGGACUUGAGUAUGGGAGAGGGAAGUGGAAUUCCUGGUGUAGCGGUGAAAUGCGUAGAUAUCAGGAGGAACACCGGUGGCGAAGGCGACUUCCUGGACCAAUACUGACGCUGAGGCGCGAAGGCGUGGGGAGCAAACGGG
Molecule: ribosomal RNA, 253 nt
Filed under: uncultured bacterium
Lineage: Bacteria
Description: partial 16S ribosomal RNA
Rfam family: Bacterial small subunit ribosomal RNA
Source: RNAcentral